RNAcentral lists this ribosomal RNA (460 nucleotides) under uncultured bacterium. RNAcentral describes it as "partial 16S ribosomal RNA". It matches the Rfam family "Bacterial small subunit ribosomal RNA", at positions 338 to 795 of the family's 1533-position model. The record is from RNAcentral.
CCUACGGGAGGCAGCAGUGAGGAAUAUUGGUCCAUGGACGAGAGUCUGAACCAGCCAAGUAGCGUGAAGGAUGACUGCCCUAUGGGUUGUAAACUUCUUUUAUAUGGGAAUAAAACAGGGUAUGCAUACCCUCUUGUAUGUACCAUAUGAAUAAGGAUCGGCUAACUCCGUGCCAGCAGCCGCGGUAAUACGGAGGAUCCGAGCGUUAUCCGGAUUUAUUGGGUUUAAAGGGAGCGUAGGUGGAUUGUUAAGUCAGUUGUGAAAGUUUGCGGCGCAACCGUAAAAUUGCAGUUGAAAAUGGCAGUCGUGAGUACAGUAGAGGUGGGCGGAAGUCGGGGUGUAGCGGUGAAAUGCUUAGAUAUCACGAAGAACUCCGAUUGCGAAGGCAGCUCACUGGACUGCAACUGACACUGAUGCUCGAAAGUGUGGGUAUCAAACAGGAUUAGAUACCCCAGUAGUC